CACCCGAUGGCACAUGGUGUGCCCUUGCUUACAAUUGCUGAUUUCCCUCGGAAUUGGGUAUGCAAAAGUCCCUCGUUCGAUUCGGGGUCGGGUGA
Mycena metata is the source of this 95-nucleotide non-coding RNA. NCBI's taxonomy places the organism in Eukaryota, Fungi, Basidiomycota, Agaricomycetes, Agaricales, Mycenaceae. The record is from the annotation of a GenBank genome assembly.